This 1168-nucleotide long non-coding RNA is filed under the name Oryctolagus cuniculus (rabbit). RNAcentral's name for it is "lncRNA (ENSOCUG00000031127.1)". The record is from RNAcentral. Lineage: Eukaryota; Metazoa; Chordata; Mammalia; Lagomorpha; Leporidae.
GUGUGAGAAGGAGAAAAGGGGACACAAGAAGAAAAAGAACAGGGACAUGAAAACCUGUCUCAAUUACCAAAGCAGCUGGAAGGUCUCAUCUUAUUUGCCAAACCCGGGACUGAAGGAAAAGGAGGGCUGAUUUCCUCCUUUAGUUGCCUGGGGUAACACGAUUCGAGAAACAAACAGGACGUCGGUGGGGCUGCCGCGUGUUUACAAACACGCCACACUCCCCUGAACGGGGACACGCACCGCCUCCACGGCUUCCAUGGUGGGUGGCAGACGGCUUCGUGGAAGGCGCCUGCUGGCACGUCUCAGACAAAGCCCAGGCCAGCGCCUUGAAAAGCGACCUUGGGCGCAAGGCUUCUCGCCUGAGGCUCGGACAGCUUUCUGUAUUUUAAGAUGAACAGACACGAAAGAGUAGAAUUCGUUCUGCACAGGAAACUUGGCUUCGGCGGCCGGAGCCGGAGCCAGAAGAUUCUGGAAUUUCAUGUUCGUGUCUUUGUUUCCUGGCGGUGCUGCUGAGGCGGUGCUCGGGGCGGGGGCUCAGCCCCUCGGAAGGCGGUGUGGGAAUAAAGGACAGCUUUGUGCAACAGCUGCUCGUCUUGCGACUUGCGGAGCAAUCCCUCCUACAACCUGCAAGGAUCCUCACUGUCCGAUUUGAAAAGCUUUCCUUCCCUCAGCCAAGGGCCAGGGGCAGCAGAACACAGAUGGGUGCCAGCUGCCCUGCCUCCGUGCUGUCUGUCUGCAGUGCAGGCGAUUCAUCCCCAGCAGAAGGCUCUGUACAGUCGUUUAACGCCUUCGGAUGCAGCUUUUCUCUCUGGCGCGUGGACUGUGUUUAUUAACAAACGUUUGUUGAAGACAUAGUAUGUGCCAGGCACUGUCCUACCCACUGAGCACAGCAGUGAGCAGAGCAAAGCAGGUUCGUGUGUGGAAGAGCACCGUUCAGAUGGACAACAUGAGCAGUAAGGAGGUUGGCUUUUCCAGUCAAUCAUGGAUCAUUGGGGUGGAUUUAUUGAUUUUCUUUAGAGAAGGUUUCCAGAGUGAUACGAGAAUUAAAUUGAAGAAUUAGGUUGUAAAAUCAUCUCUUGGUGUUUGAAGUGUGUGUGUGUGUGUGUGUGUGUGUGUGUUGAUUUGGGACUUUAGUGAGACUGAAUAAAGCAGAACCCUGAAGAUGGCA